Molecule: transfer RNA, 67 nt
Filed under: Canis lupus familiaris (dog)
Lineage: Eukaryota; Metazoa; Chordata; Mammalia; Carnivora; Canidae
Also listed under: 1 other name
Rfam family: tRNA
About the family: Transfer RNA (tRNA) molecules are approximately 80 nucleotides in length. Their secondary structure includes four short double-helical elements and three loops (D, anti-codon, and T loops). Further hydrogen bonds mediate the characteristic L-shaped molecular structure. tRNAs have two regions of fundamental functional importance: the anti-codon, which is responsible for specific mRNA codon recognition, and the 3' end, to which the tRNAs corresponding amino acid is attached (by aminoacyl-tRNA synthetases). tRNAs cope with the degeneracy of the genetic code in two manners: having more than one tRNA (with a specific anti-codon) for a particular amino acid; and 'wobble' base-pairing, i.e. permitting non-standard base-pairing at the 3rd anti-codon position.
Source: Rfam by way of RNAcentral
GGGAAAUUAAUAAAAAUUACAUAACUUUGUCAAAGUUAAAUUAUAUGUUCAAAUCCUUUAUAUCUCU